GGGCCUGAACGGACCGAGAACGGUCGGUCCACAUCGUGAAAACGUUAACUCCGCCUUCUAAGCGGACGGUUGCAGGUUCGAGUCCUGCAGGGCGCGCCA
Molecule: transfer RNA, 99 nt
Filed under: Phenylobacterium sp.
Lineage: Bacteria; Pseudomonadati; Pseudomonadota; Alphaproteobacteria; Caulobacterales; Caulobacteraceae
Description: tRNA-Arg
Source: RNAcentral